UUCGGAUUGUAGGCUGCAACUCGCCUACCAUGAAGUCGGAGUUGCUAGUAAUCGCGGAUCAGAAUGCCGCGGUGAAUGCGUUCCCGGGUCUUGUACACACCGCCCGUCACACCAUGGAAGUUGGGGGCGCCCGAAGUUGGUCGAGGAAUAGAUUACCUAAGGCGAAACCAAUGACUGGGGUGAAGUCGUAACAAGGUAAC
Molecule: ribosomal RNA, 200 nt
Filed under: uncultured bacterium
Lineage: Bacteria
Description: partial 16S ribosomal RNA
Rfam family: Bacterial small subunit ribosomal RNA
Source: RNAcentral